UGCUUCAGUGGGGCCUUCAGUUGUGUGAAAGGAAAGCCAAGGACUUAUCUUCGAUCAGAAACAUCUAAGCCAAUGAGGCAGAGACACACUGCACGGUGUUGGCUGAGCCCAGGAACACUGGCUAAUAGAUAUCCUGCCCACCAAACUCCAUCACAGAGUCCGUUUCCCAAGAACCCAACCUGCAAUGGCCAUGUCUGCGUGAACACAGUCACCUGUGUGCUUGGAAGCCAGCCAUGUGUUCCACUGGGAGUGCAUCCCUUUUGACUGCAGCAGAAAUCACUGGAGACACCUGGAGGGGGAUUCAGAGACUGGUACAUUUUGGGGAGCUCCUAAGACCACUGAGACUCUUCAGAUGCCACCAAGGUUCCUUGGCCUGGACCCAAGUGUUUCUCUGGAGUCAGGUGAGCCCAGGUGAACUGUGCCAAGAACAUCCACUCUGUGCUGUUUUGUUCUCAUAACCUGAGCUAUUGUAAACUGUAAAGCUAUACCAAGUACGACACAGCUGAGACUAGGUAAACUGGGUAGCUCUGAUACAGAUGGAAACUUGAUCAUUAAAACAU
This is a long non-coding RNA of Camelus dromedarius (Arabian camel), 560 nucleotides long. RefSeq lists it as uncharacterized. Lineage: Eukaryota; Metazoa; Chordata; Mammalia; Artiodactyla; Camelidae. The record is from RefSeq and is a predicted model, not a curated record. The transcript is spliced from 3 exons.